CACAUUCAAGAAAACCCGCUUUUUAGCGGGUUUUUUUACAUCUGUAGUUUAUAGGAUGAGCACCUCCGAAGGAGGUUUGAGCCGAGCGUAGCGAGACAACGUUGCUUUAGCAACGGCCCGCAGGGCAGCAUCGCAGAUGCAGUAAUCCUCUCUCGCCGACCA
This 162-nucleotide small RNA is filed under the name Serratia proteamaculans. Its description in RNAcentral is "RtT". The stretch from base 35 to 162 matches the Rfam family "RtT RNA". Rfam says of the family: This family represents a bacterial cis-regulatory element known as RtT RNA. The exact function of RtT is unknown although it is thought that it may be involved in changing the cellular response in relation to amino acid starvation. Lineage: Bacteria; Pseudomonadati; Pseudomonadota; Gammaproteobacteria; Enterobacterales; Yersiniaceae. The record is from RNAcentral.